AACCGAGGCUAAUACCGGAUAUGACGCGCACAGGCAUCUGUUGCGUGUGGAAAGUUUUUCGGCUGUGGAUGGGCUCGCGGCCUAUCGGCUUGUUGGUGGGGUGAUGGCCUACCAAGGCGACGACGGGUAGCCGGCCUGAGAGGGUGACCGGCCACACUGGGACUGAGACACGGCCCAGACUCCUACGGGAGGCAGCAGUGGGGAAUAUUGCGCAAUGGGCGAAAGCCUGACGCAGCGACGCCGCGUGAGGGAUGAAGGCCUUCGGGUUGUAAACCUCUUUCAGCUCCGAAGAAGCGAAAGUGACGGUAGGGGCAGAAGAAGCACCGGCUAACUACGUGCCAGCAGCCGCGGUAAUACGUAGGGUGCAAGCGUUGUCCGGAAUUAUUGGGCGUAAAGAGCUCGUAGGCGGUUUGUCGCGUCUGCUGUGAAAUUCCAGGGCUUAACCCUGGACCUGCAGUGGGUACGGGCAGACUAGAGUGCGGUAGGGGAGAUCGGAAUUCCUGGUGUAGCGGUGAAAUGCGCAGAUAUCAGGAGGAACACCGGUGGCGAAGGCGGAUCUCUGGGCCGUAACUGACGCUGAGGAGCGAAAGCAUGGGGAGCGAACAGGAUUAGAUACCCUGGUAGUCCAUGCCGUAAACGUUGGGCGCUAGGUGUGGGGCUCAUUCCACGAGUUCUGUGCCGCAGCUAACGCAUUAAGCGCCCCGC
RNAcentral lists this ribosomal RNA (705 nucleotides) under uncultured bacterium. Its description in RNAcentral is "bacterial SSU rRNA". It matches the Rfam family "Bacterial small subunit ribosomal RNA", at positions 155 to 872 of the family's 1533-position model. The record is from RNAcentral.